UACGUAGGGCGCACGCGUUGUCCGGAAUUAUUGGGCGUAAAGAGCUCGUAGUCGGCUUGUCACGUCGGGUGUGAAAGCCCGGGGCUUAACCCCGGGUCUGCAUUCGAUACGGGCUAGCUAGAGUGUGGUAGGGGAGAUCGGAAUUCCUGGUGUAGCGGUGAAAUGCGCAGAUAUCAGGAGGAACACCGGUGGCGAAGGCGGAUCUCUGGGCCAUUACUGACGCUGAGGAGCGAAAGCGUGGGGAGCGAACAGG
This 253-nucleotide ribosomal RNA is filed under the name uncultured bacterium. RNAcentral describes it as "partial 16S ribosomal RNA". It matches the Rfam family "Bacterial small subunit ribosomal RNA", at positions 524 to 776 of the family's 1533-position model. The record is from RNAcentral.